CACACUCAUGGCGAGCAGAGGGGACGCUGCUGUCUCUGUGCUGGACUGACUGGAGCACCGCUUUUCCACAAUCUUUCGCAAUCCCCCAUGAAUGCAGUGUUGUAAAGAGGCGUGAGUGUCCACAUACUUCCGUCUACAGGCUUUAUCAAGAUAUAAAGCUCACCAUGAACAGCAUGAGCAGUUGCGGCUUUCUGAACAUGGCGACGACAGGAGAUUUCGACCCGCUCAACGCCACAAUUCCUGCCACAAAAGUUGAGAUUACAGUGUCGUGCAGAAACCUGCUCGACAGGGACACAUUCUCCAAAUCAGAUCCAAUCUGCGUGCUUUACACCCAAGGCAUUGGCAACAAAGAAUGGAGAGAGGUGAGCAGAAC
Molecule: long non-coding RNA, 373 nt
Organism: Danio aesculapii
Lineage: Eukaryota; Metazoa; Chordata; Actinopteri; Cypriniformes; Danionidae
Exons: 3
Source: RefSeq, a predicted model, not a curated record